ACGGAGAGCAAGACGAGACAAGAGUGUUUAAAGACGUGUUGAAUAUCUGAAAAUCUCAACAUGAGUAAUCCACAACAACAUCAGGUAAGAUAUUUACAAUUCCUCUCGAGUAUACAAAUUUUAUAGCAUUGCAAAUUUUAUUAGCAUUUGAAUUGUGCAUAUCUGUGGAUUCAUUCAUUAAUUGUAAGUUUUAAAGAAUAACACACUGAUCGUUCUGUAUAUUAACAGGGCUGCAAAGAUUCUGGCUCCAUGGUAUGAAGACAAUAACGCACUCUUUACAUUUCUACACAAAUAGUUAAAGAACUUUUCCAUUGUAUGCUAAUCCUAUUCUCAUAUUUCCUGUCUCAUAGAGCUCAGGAGACGAAUGUGGACAGAAGCACGGAAAGGGCCAAGGCAAAGAUAAAGGGAAAUCUCAGCAACAGCAAGGACAGCAAGGACAGCAAGGACAGGAAGGACAAGGUCAUGGUCACGGUCAUGGAGGUGAUCAUGGGAAAAAGGGACAAGCAUGUGAGCAGCAAAAAGGAAAAAAGUGUUAAGGUCAUAACCUGAGACCAUGGUGGUCCAUGCAUGUCCUCAUGCUUUACAUAUCAAAACUGGGGUUCAGCUCCAUAUUGUAUUCAAAUAAUGAAAUUAAAACACUCUUAAAUG
Long non-coding RNA from Cyprinus carpio (common carp), 648 nucleotides. The record is from Ensembl. Lineage: Eukaryota; Metazoa; Chordata; Actinopteri; Cypriniformes; Cyprinidae.